Molecule: ribosomal RNA, 583 nt
Filed under: uncultured bacterium OS9B
Lineage: Bacteria
Description: bacterial SSU rRNA
Rfam family: Bacterial small subunit ribosomal RNA
Source: RNAcentral
UGGAGAGUUUGAUCCUGGCUCAGAUUGAACGCYGGCGGCAUGCCUUACACAUGCAAGUCGAACGGCAGCAUGAUCKAGCUUGCUAGAUUGAUGGCGAGUGGCGAACGGGUGAGUAAUAUAUCGGAACGUGCCCUAGUAGUGGGGGAUAACUAGUCGAAAGAUUAGCUAAUACCGCAUACGACCUGAGGRUGAAAGUGGGGGACCGCAARRCCUCAUGCUAUAGGAGCGGCCGAUGUCUGAUUAGCUAGUUGGUGAGUGUAAAGGCUCACCAAGGCGACGAUCAGUAGCUGGUCUGAGAGGACGAUCAGCCACACUGGGACUGAGACACGGCCCAGAAUCCUACGGGAGGCAGCAGUGGGGAAUUUUGGACAAUGGGGGCAACCCUGAUCCAGCAAUGCCGCGUGAGUGAAGAAGGCCUUCGGGUUGUAAAGCUCUUUUGUCAGGGAAGAAACGGUAGUAGCGAAUAACUAUUACUAAUGACGGUACCUGAAGAAUAAGCACCGGCUAACUACGUGCCAGCAGCCGCGGUAAUACGUAGGGUGCAAGCGUUAAUCGGAAUUACUGGGCGUAAAGCGCACGCAGG